AUUGAACGCUGGCGGUAUGCCUAACCCUUGCAAGUCGAACGAGGUAGCAAUACCUAGUGGCGGACGGGUGAGGAAUACGUAGGGAUCUGCCUUUAAGUGGGGGAUAACCCGGGGAAACCCGGAUUAAUACCGCAUGAUCUCGCAAGAGCAAAGUGGGGGAUCGCAAGACCUCACGCUUUUAAAGGAACCUACGUCGGAUUAGCUUGUUGGUGAGGUAAUGGCUCACCAGGGCAACAAUCCGUAACUGGUCUGAGAGGAUGAUCAGUCACACCGGAACUGAAACACGGUCCGGACUCCUACGGGAGGCAGCAGUGGGGAAUAUUGGACAAUGGGCGAAAGCCUGAUCCAGCAAUACCGCGUGUGUGAAGAAGGCCUUCGGGUUGUAAAGCACUUUAAGUUGGGAAGAAAAAACUUCAAUUAAUACUUGAAGUCUUGACGGUACCGACAGAAUAACCACCGGCUAACUCUGUG
This 471-nucleotide ribosomal RNA is filed under the name uncultured bacterium. RNAcentral's name for it is "bacterial SSU rRNA". It matches the Rfam family "Bacterial small subunit ribosomal RNA", at positions 30 to 507 of the family's 1533-position model. The record is from RNAcentral.